UCGACCCUGCGUGACUGGCGAUAGAACCGAGUCAGCUGACUCAGCCGAUUCAACCAAUCGGGUUCAAGGUGGAACAACCCACCGUGAAGCGCAGGGUGCCGUUUUGCCGUUCGCCUGGGCAGCCGUG
Molecule: non-coding RNA, 127 nt
Organism: Paraburkholderia susongensis
Lineage: Bacteria; Pseudomonadati; Pseudomonadota; Betaproteobacteria; Burkholderiales; Burkholderiaceae
Source: Rfam